CCUACGGGGGGCAGCAGUGGGGAAUAUUGGACAAUGGGCGAAAGCCUGAUCCAGCCAUGCCGCGUGUGUGAAGAAGGCCUUCGGGUUGUAAAGCACUUUCAGUGGGGAAGAAAGCCUUGGGGCUAAUACCCUCGAGGAAGGACAUCACCCACAGAAGAAGCACCGGCUAACUCCGUGCCAGCAGCCGCGGUAAUACGGAGGGUGCGAGCGUUAAUCGGAAUUACUGGGCGUAAAGCGCGCGUAGGCGGUCUGAGAAGCCGGUUGUGAAAGCCCCGGGCUCAACCUGGGAACGGCAUCCGGAACUGUCAGGCUAGAGUGCAGGAGAGGAAGGUAGAAUUCCCGGUGUAGCGGUGAAAUGCGUAGAGAUCGGGAGGAAUACCAGUGGCGAAGGCGGCCUUCUGGACUGACACUGACGCUGAGGUGCGAAAGCGUGGGUAGCAAACAGGAUUAGAUACCCGAGUAGUC
RNAcentral lists this ribosomal RNA (465 nucleotides) under Vreelandella stevensii. Its description in RNAcentral is "partial 16S ribosomal RNA". It matches the Rfam family "Bacterial small subunit ribosomal RNA", at positions 338 to 795 of the family's 1533-position model. Lineage: Bacteria; Pseudomonadati; Pseudomonadota; Gammaproteobacteria; Oceanospirillales; Halomonadaceae. The record is from RNAcentral.